GCUAAGCCUUGCAUAUGCUCCGUUUCCCUCAACAAAACCAUAAACCAGCAAAUUGUUACACUAACCUUAACUUGCACAUCGAGACAUCCCAUUGAAAUGAUACGCUGUAGGCUUGUGAUUAGCUAUCAACAGAUUGUCACUUAAAUGUCAUCCUUCACAAGUUAUUUAAGACGAAAUAAAUUUAGCCGAGAACCAAGCCACACUGGGGGAAGUUCAGCUUGUAGAAAUUUGCUGUCCUGUUAGCUCUGAGCCACACUCAUUUUUAGUAGUGUGCAAUGACAUGGGUAAAACUUACCCAUAUUUUGUAUGAUGCGGACACAGCAAAUGUUAAUAAUUAUUAAUUAGUCAUUUGUAGCAACAGUAAAAAUAUCCACAAUUACUCUUAUUAAACCCAAACUGGAAGACCGCCUUUCAUUCCCAAGGGAACAGGCACACUACCGGAUCAUGGGAAUUAGGAAGAAAGUGCUUUCCUGACUGCAUUCCACUUUUGUUCAUUACUAAUGCAUUUUUCAGUCUCAAAAAGCAUGACAAGAAAUCCAAGUGCAAGAGGAAGGCAUGGGGGAGAGAGAGAAAAGCUGUCAGUGUACGAACUUGAACUUACUAGCACUAGCCUGGCACUCGCUAACACACAUCCAUAAACUGUACUGGUAAUAAAUAGCAUGAAUGCUCAAUUCAGAAUUUGAAGUUUUGCUUAUAGGAGGCUCUUCUGAAGCUUGUUACACUGUUUUCAGCAAUGUCCAGUCUGCUAAGGAAUGGCUUGCCCAUUUCACAUUUUUUCUCUGCAGUACUGCCAAAUUCCAGGUCCUUCUCAGCCAUGGCAUAACACGUCUUUCUAUUUCAAGGGGCAUUAUUAUUUCAGAAAAAAAACCCCAAAAUUGUGGUUAACACGUGGUGGCAGCAGUGAGUAGCAAGGAAGGAAUGAUGACAUCGAUACUGAAACUUCAAGGAGCAUAAGUAUGUGUACCUGCAGCUGUGCACAACCUGUGAGACCUGAUGGCUGCCAGCUCCCCUGCCCAGGUAGGGGCACUGAGAACCUGCCGAAGAGUUUACAAGGACAGAAGCUAAUCCAGUGCUGACUUUUGCUUUCACAGUUCUAAUAACCAUUUGGACCGGUUUUCACAGGAUAAGGAGAAGGCAGCAAUUUAUAUUGUGACCUGAGUAAAAAUAUCCACAUGCAACUGAUUGGUAUCAGGGAAACAACACUCAGAAAAUCCCCCGCUUCUGUGUUAUCCCCCUUCAUGAAUGCAAGCCAUCUCAACAACCUCUCGUGCUUAAACUGAAACAGACAGGGAUCUCCACAAUCCGGAUUUUUACUGCUGCAUUUUACCAUUUGAACUUUUUCAUGCUAUAUUAUCUUGUAACCCGGGGGGGGGGAAAGAAAAGAUCAGUGGUCAGAGGUUUGUUGGUUGAUGACAUAUUUAAGUGCAGAUGGUACAGCCAACAGGACUAUCCCAUGCUGUAUCUUGAGUACUGGAGAAAGGAGCUGGAAAAUCAAUAAUGUAAAGAUUUGCCUUUCCCCACUGAAUCAGGACCUGGCUCCAAGCUGCACUAAGUGCUCCUGAGACAGGUGAGACAUUUUCAUGUAGGAUAAACUGUCUACAUAAAUUGUUCAAAAUAGCAGGUGAGCUGAAAGUAGAUGUUUUUCUGAAUAACUCCAACUCAUGAACUUCAUGGGGAGAAGAACUUUAUCAGCUCCCAGACAUUCUUUUCACUUUGAAAAGGAGCAGUCUAAUCUGAGGACAGACAAAGGCAAUGCUUCCUGAUGUCAUUUUCUCCUUCACUGACUGCAUUGAUAAAAUUAUCUCUAAUUUCCACAACCACUGGUCUCUUUACUGCAUUGUUAUCACAGUCCUUAACUGUUUUGCAUAGUGUCAAAAUCUACCUGCUUCAUAUUUGCAAUUUGCAAAAUACUUCUAUUCACAAACAAACAACAACAACAAAAAAAAACCCAACCCCAUAGGUACACAAAUACACAAAUAAUAAAUUAGAGGGCUACUUGAAAUAAAUUAAAACAUUUACUUAUCAUAAUCAGCAUUUCUGGACAUAUCCAGAUGUCAAAAACAUUCAUUUAGAAAGUGUGACAAUGUUGUUUUUUUUUUCCUUUGCCUGGUAAAAUCAGACAAUUCUUAACUGGUUAAAAUAAAAUAACCCAAACAAACGCAUUCCAUCAGAUCACUGGUAUUCAAAGCUAACUAAAAUAGUUAUCCUCAGCUAGCACCUAUAGAAAACCCUUCUGUUCUCAUGCUGCCAGUCUCCAAAAGAACAUGUCCAUGUGCCAGGCUCCUGCUGGAAUCAAUAACAAGAACAUGAGCGAGAGCAAAACCACACAAACGAGUGUUCACACAGAACACACUCGUUGCUUUAUUAAACAUUCAUUUUCCUUAGGUUAAUAAUAAAGUCUAAGUAGAUUUAAGUGUAUGUGGAGCAUUAAGAAGUCACAGUCUAUUUUGAAGCUACAAGAAAAUCAAGAAACUUGAAACAUUCAUAUCAGCGUUGUUUGUAGCAGUAUGGCAGUAUGCAAUUCCAGAAAGCCUCAGUCUGCUUUUUUGCCUCUUUUUUUUUUUUUUUUUUUCAGGGAAAAUUAAAGUUCAGGAGAAAGUAACUCUUCCCAGUCAUAGUUAGCAGGCUGGGCUGGCUGGCUGCAGCAUUAUCUUAUGGAAGAGCAGCACAGUCUGAUUCCAGUGUCCUGUGCGCUGCUUCUCGUCCCUUUCACAGGAGGUUUUUCAAGUCCCACCCAUGUCCCACCUAUCCUAAUAUAUCACUUUGUGCUUCAUGUACAGCACACAAUAAGCCUAUAAAUUAUCUGUCAAAAUACAGAAUCGGAGCGUUGCAGAUGACAUCUCCGCUGGGCCUCUGCCAAAGGAGGUGAACACUGAAUAAAUGCAUUGCAAAACCAUCUUUCUCUUUUUCGAGUUAACUGUCUUCUGUACUCUAUGUGUACAUGUCUGCUCCGUCCGGCGUUUUGUCAGAGCGCCUCUCCGAGUGUUUAUCCGGCCUGCUGACACUCCCCGGCACGCUGCCCCUCCAGCUCUCCAUCCUUCCCCCGGGACCAGGAGCUCACAGCUGCCUUUGGUACCGGAGCGAUCCCGCCCCGGACCAGUCCGCCUGUGCCGGUAACGUCCGUCCCGGGGCUUUUAGCUCCGAGUGGCCGAGCCCCCGCCCGGCGCCACCCACGGGCCGCGCUGCUCCCGGGCCG
Molecule: long non-coding RNA, 3196 nt
Organism: Motacilla alba alba
Lineage: Eukaryota; Metazoa; Chordata; Aves; Passeriformes; Motacillidae
Exons: 3
Source: RefSeq, a predicted model, not a curated record